UAAUACGUAGGUGGCAAGCGUUGUCCGGAUUUAUUGGGUUUAAAGGGUGCGUAGGCGGCCCUGUAAGUCAGUGGUGAAAUAUCUCAGCUUAACUGAGAGGGUGCCAUUGAUACUGCAGGGCUUGAGUACAGAUGAGGUAGGCGGAAUUGACGGUGUAGCGGUGAAAUGCAUAGAUAUCGUCAAGAACACCGAUAGCGAAGGCAGCUUACUAAGCUGUAACUGACGCUGAGGCACGAAAGUGUGGGGAUCAAACAGG
Molecule: ribosomal RNA, 256 nt
Filed under: uncultured bacterium
Lineage: Bacteria
Description: partial 16S ribosomal RNA
Rfam family: Bacterial small subunit ribosomal RNA
Source: RNAcentral